Molecule: ribosomal RNA, 501 nt
Filed under: uncultured bacterium
Lineage: Bacteria
Description: bacterial SSU rRNA
Rfam family: Bacterial small subunit ribosomal RNA
Source: RNAcentral
AUUGAACGCUGGCGGCAUGCCUUACACAUGCAAGUCGAACGGUAACAGGUCUUCGGAUGCUGACGAGUGGCGAACGGGUGAGUAAUACAUCGGAACGUGCCCGAUCGUGGGGGAUAACGGAGCGAAAGCUUUGCUAAUACCGCAUACGAUCUACGGAUGAAAGCAGGGGACCGCAAGGCCUUGCGCGGACGGAGCGGCCGAUGGCAGAUUAGGUAGUUGGUGGGAUAAAAGCUUACCAAGCCGACGAUCUGUAGCUGGUCUGAGAGGACGACCAGCCACACUGGGACUGAGACACGGCCCAGACUCCUACGGGAGGCAGCAGUGGGGAAUUUUGGACAAUGGGCGCAAGCCUGAUCCAGCCAUGCCGCGUGCAGGAUGAAGGCCUUCGGGUUGUAAACUGCUUUUGUACGGAACGAAAGACUCUUUCUAAUAAAGAGGGUCCAUGACGGUACCGUAAGAAUAAGACACCGGCUAACUAACGUGCCAGCAGCCGCGGUAAAG